AGUGAACGCUGGCGGUAGGCCUAACACAUGCAAGUCGAACGGCAGCACAGUAAGAGCUUGCUCUUACGGGUGGCGAGUGGCGGACGGGUGAGGAAUACAUCGGAAUCUACUUUUUCGUGGGGGAUAACGUAGGGAAACUUACGCUAAUACCGCAUACGACCUACGGGUGAAAGCAGGGGAUCUUCGGACCUUGCGCGAUUGAAUGAGCCGAUGUCGGAUUAGAUAGUUGGCGGGGUAAAGGCCCACCAAGGCGACGAUCCGUAGCUGGUCUGAGAGGAUGAUCGCCCACACUAGAACGGAGCCACGGUCCAGACUCCUAGGGGAGGCAGCAGAGGGGAAUAUUGGACAAUGGGCGCAAGCCUGAUCCAACCAUCCCACGUGGGUGAAGAAGGCCUUCGGGGUGUAAAGCCCGUUUGUUGGGAAAGAAAAGCAGCAGGUUAAUACCCCGCUGUUCUGACGGUACCCAAAGAAUAAGCACCGGCUAACUUCGUG
RNAcentral lists this ribosomal RNA (492 nucleotides) under uncultured bacterium. Its description in RNAcentral is "partial 16S ribosomal RNA". It matches the Rfam family "Bacterial small subunit ribosomal RNA", at positions 29 to 507 of the family's 1533-position model. The record is from RNAcentral.